This 492-nucleotide ribosomal RNA is filed under the name uncultured bacterium. Its description in RNAcentral is "partial 16S ribosomal RNA". It matches the Rfam family "Bacterial small subunit ribosomal RNA", at positions 29 to 507 of the family's 1533-position model. The record is from RNAcentral.
AGUGAACGCUGGCGGUAGGCCUAACACAUGCAAGUCGAACGGCAGCACAGUAAGAGCUUGCUCUUACGGGUGGCGAGUGGCGGACGGGUGAGGAAUACAUCGGAAUCUACUUUUUCGUGGGGGAUAACGUAGGGAAACUUACGCUAAUACCGCAUACGACCUACGGGUGAAAGCAGGGGAUCUUCGGACCUUGCGCGAUUGAAUGAGCCGAUGUCGGAUUAGCUAGUUGGCGGGGUAAAGGCCCACCAAGGCGACGAUCCGUAGCUGGUCUGAGAGGAUGAUCAGACACACUGGAACUGAGACACGGUCCAGACUCCUACGGGAGGCAGCAGUGGGGAAUAUUGGACAAUGGGCGCAAGCCUGAUCCAGCCAUACCGCGUGGGUGAAGAAGGCCUUCGGGUUGUAAAGCCCCUUUGUUGGGAAAGAAAAGCAGCAGGUUAAUACCCCGCUGUUCUGACGGUACCCAAAGAAUAAGCACCGGCUAACUUCGUG